This is an RNA transcript of Brienomyrus brachyistius, 9388 nucleotides long. It is a transcript of the gene named potassium voltage-gated channel, Shaw-related subfamily, member 3a, with no coding region annotated. The transcript is spliced from 7 exons. Lineage: Eukaryota; Metazoa; Chordata; Actinopteri; Osteoglossiformes; Mormyridae. The record is from RefSeq and is a predicted model, not a curated record.
CUUCACACAGAUCAGCAGACCGCACUCCGCCACACCGUGAAUCGACAGACAGCUGAGGGAUCCCAGUAUAAAUCAGGAAAGCGCGGCGUGGGAAUCCCAGUCAAACCAGGAACCGGCAGCAAGGGAAUCCCAAUUUAAAAACGGAGGAGUCGCGAAGCAGGACGUGUAGUUUGUGCACGAAAACAUAUAAAGACACCCAAGAGGUUUGGGAAGCGCAGACACCGCACCGGCGGCUGGAGCGCCGUGAAUCGUAAGACAGCAAGGGCGACCGUCAUCUGAACCGCAGGAAAACACUAGCAACUGGGAGAAAAGCAAGAGCCGCUGCGUUUUAAGAAGAAAAGGUGCAAAACUUGGGAAAAAAAAACGUGCGUGUCGGUAGCUGGUGAAGGGUGGGGGGCUCCUAGUUCGUCCAGGGUAACGCUGGAGGGGGCGUACAUAGAAAGAAACCGGAGGCAGUCAAUUUAAAGACAAAAGAACGAUGGCAGCGAUGGAGGUCUAGAAGUGGUAGAGGGGGUUAAUGUUAAAAAUGUGCCUAUGUUGUUAAACCAGGCACGGUCGCUGAAUUACACAGAAGGAAAGGAGCAAUAUAACGCAUAUAGUGGACUAUGAGCACAGUACGGUUACUGAAAUAUUAAAAUAUUAUUACCGGUGAUAGUGAAAUCAAAAACAGAGAAUAUCCGUUAUUGGCUUCAGGUGACAAGAGUUCCGAAGAUAAACGAGGGACUAUAGUCUGGUUAUAGAAACCAACAAUCAGCACUGUGCUAGUGUGUUGAUGUGUGUGUCCUUGUACACACACACUGUACCCACACUCAGCCCGACACAAGGCAAACUCCACCCCCCACCUCCCUGCCUUCUCUCUCUCCUCCUCUCCCUCCCCCCGGUCCCCUAUGCUCAGUUCAGUGUGUGUCUCCUCUUUCAAAGGGCGCAAGGGGGGGAACAAGUCGGCCAACAAAGCAUGUUACAGUGCAGACAUGACUUGCCCGUCAGACAGCGAGAAAAUUGUGAUAAACUGCGGGGGUGUGCGACACGAAACCUACCGCAGCACCCUGAAGACGCUGCCCGGUACCCGCUUAUCGUGGCUCACCGAGCCGGAUGCGUACAGCAACUUUGACUAUGACCCGAAAUCCGACGAGUUUUUCUUUGAUCGCCACCCUAACACCUUCGCCUUCAUCCUCAACUAUUAUCGUACCGGGAAGCUGCACUGUCCCAGCGACGUAUGCGGGCCGCUCUUCGAGGAGGAGCUGGCUUUCUGGGGCAUCGACGAGACAGACGUGGAGGCGUGCUGCUGGAUGAAUUACCGGCAGCACCGGGACGCGGAGGAGGCGCUGGACAGCUUCGAGACCCCCGAGCCGGACCCUCCCGAAGACGACCCUGCAUUGACGGGGGGCGCGGAUGGAGACCUGAAGAGACUGUGCCUGCAGGAGGAUGGCAGGAAAGCCAGCUGGUGGCGUGUAUGGCAGCCGCGCAUCUGGGCACUCUUUGAGGAUCCCUAUUCAUCCAAAUACGCCCGGUAUGUGGCGUUUGGUUCCCUGUUAUUCAUCCUCAUCUCCAUCUCCACCUUCUGCCUGGAAACGCAUGAAGCCUUCAACACCAUCUACAACAAAACAGAGAAUGUGACUGUGGGGAAUGUCACGCGCGAGGAGGUGGUCUUUGAGGUGGUCACCGACAGCUGGCUCACCUACGUGGAGGGCGUGUGUGUCAUCUGGUUCACCAUUGAGGUCCUGCUGCGUGUCAUCUUCUGCCCCGACAAGGCCGAGUUCUUCAAGAGCACCCUCAACAUCAUCGACUUUGUGGCCAUCCUGCCUUUCUACCUGGAGGUGGGGCUGAGUGGUCUGUCUUCCAAAGCAGCCAAGGACGUACUGGGCUUCCUGCGGGUGGUCCGCUUUGUGCGGAUCCUGCGUAUCUUCAAGCUGACCCGCCACUUUGUGGGGCUGCGAGUUCUGGGCCACACACUCCGGGCCAGUACCAAUGAGUUCCUGCUGCUCAUCAUCUUCCUGGCGUUGGGCGUGCUCAUCUUCGCCACCAUGAUCUACUACGCCGAGCGCAUCGGUGCUGACCCUGGAGACCCCACCGCCAGUGCCCACACCAACUUCAAGAACAUCCCCAUUGGGUUCUGGUGGGCUGUGGUGACCAUGACCACCCUGGGCUAUGGGGACAUGUACCCGGUCACAUGGUCAGGCAUGUUAGUGGGAGCCCUGUGUGCCCUGGCAGGGGUGCUGACCAUCGCCAUGCCUGUGCCCGUCAUCGUCAACAACUUUGGGAUGUACUACUCGCUGGCCAUGGCCAAGCAGAAGCUACCUAAGAAGAAGAACAAGCACAUCCCACGGGCACCGCAGCCUGGCUCACCGAAUUACUGCAAACCCGAUGCCCUGGCCAUGGCCACGGCUUCGCCCCACAGGAUCCUCGGCAACGUGCUGAGUGGGGUGACCGGCUCCGGAAGCAUGGGAGGGGACUGUCCCCUGGCCCAGGAGGAGAUCAUCGAGAUCAACAGGGCAGGUGAGUACUCUAAGCAGAACGGGGACGCUGCCAACGCCGCGCUGGCCAAUGAGGACUGCCCAACGAUUGACCAGGUGCUUGGGCCUGAGGAGAGGAGUCCCGCGACGAGCGGGAUUGGAGGCCGAGAGCGGUACCCACAUGACCGCGCUUGUUUCCUGCUCAGCACAGGCGAGUUUCGCGCUGCAGAUGGGAACGUGAGGAAAGCAGCUCCCUGUACAGCAGCCGCCAGCCAAGCCUCCCCCCGGAGGGGGGAAUGGUGCAAGCCAGAGGGGCCCCUGUUACCCCAGAACCUCUAUGCAAACUCUGCCUCUUCUUGGAUCAAACCAUAGUGCACUGAGGGGGGACUCUGAGUGGAGGCUGGACUGCCAGCAAGCGAUAGAGGAAGAUGAGGAAGAUGAGAGAAGGAGCAGGCAGCGGGUGUCCAGGCAGACGGCGUUACCGCGUUUAUCUAUGAGACAGGGGUCCAGCUCCCAGCCACGGCGCUUAUGAGCAGACGAUUAGCAAGCAUCCCAUCUCCUUUUCUAUGAUUCAAGUGCAAAUAUGUCAGUGACAGUAAUAGUAAUGAUAUGAAAAUAUUUUUCUACCCGUAUUGUUAUUAUUGCGACUUAUGUGUCUGGUCACUCUUCAUAAGGAACUUUUUUAUUGAUGGUUCAUUUACAGAAUAGGUCUUUAUUUUUCUAAUUGCUAAAUUAUCUUUCCCUUUUUUGUUUUAAUAUAUCCAAAUGGAAUAUGUAAAUGUAAUGAUUUACAUUCUGCAGGCUUUGCAUUAGCUAUAAACAUGUUUCUCUUAGUAUGUCGGGGAAUUUAAACCUGUUACGUUCAUUAUCAUCCUUUGGCUUCCCUUGUCCUCCCCCCCCCGAUAUCUUCCUUCCCCAAACAUGGAGGAGGUGACAUGCUGAAGGCGGGGGGCGCCGUUGCAUUCUCUGAGACACGCGGACCCCUCCUCGGCCGAGGCGUCAGCCCGGGCGCUAAAGGACGGGCCUGAGCCUCCUGGGGGAACAAAACCCAGCGUCUCGCCGGCCCAGUCCCAAAGCCCGCGUGGGGGUGGGGGGGGCCACACCUCGACCAGUGCUUUGCUGAGGGCCCCGUCUCCGGGGGUGUAUUUGGCGGCAGAGAAAGCAACUUUGCUGAAGUGUGUUUGCAAAAAAAAAAAGAAAAAAACUACUAAAAAGAAACAAAAAAGCUCAGGACACUUUAAAUGAAGCAUAUCAUUAGGAAAGGCCUGCUGUACGUGAAUGCCUCUGGAGCGCCAGGCAUGCAGGCCUGUUAGCACUGCGCUGAAAUGGCUGCCGCUCUUAUGUAACCAUGUUAAAUAUACUGAUCUCUGGCUUCACACACACACAGCAUAUACAGAAUAAUGCCACUUCUGUCACCUCUUUUAGGUUUGUGGGGAUAAUUGCUCUGUAUUCCAAAGCUGGACCCCCAGCACGCCCUAAGCUGCCAUGUCUUCGUUCCACCCAAAUUCCCUUUCUUCUCCUGUAUCCAUGUCUUUUCACUCCAUCUCUCUCCUCCGUCUCACCUUCUUCCUGUAUCCACGUCGUUUUUCUUCUCUCCCCUCUGUUCUUCCUUGCUACAGUCCUUUGCAUCUCUGUCCCCCCUCCAUUCCUGUCCUUCCCCUGUAUCUGCACCGUUUUCCUCUCCAUCUUGCUCCUCUGGUUCCUGGUCUCUGUAUUUGUACUAAGAAAUGUGCUUCUAUUACACCCAUAAUGGCUCUAAAUGAUAAGUAUAGUUUUAAAAUUAGUUUUUAUUAUUUUUUUUACAUGCAUGAGUUCCUACUGCAAGCAAUAAGAAAUGAAUAUAUCUGUAUUGUCUAUAUUAUGAUCUACGAGUAUGUUUUGAUAAGGCACCUUGUUCUGUUUAAAUGUAUAUGUAAAUUCAUAUAUGCGUACAUAUAUGUUCAUGUACGUAAACGUGUGCAUUUAUAUGCAGCUACAAGCUGGCUGAUUGCAUGCUGAUUUCUGAACCUCCUAACAGGCAGAAGGGACGCUGCUCUGCAUGCCUUUGGCCACUAGGGGGCGUCUUCCCUGUGACUCAUGUGGCUUUGGGGUUACUUUCACAGUCAGCAGUACAGUGGAUGGGACUGCAGGCUGGAUGAUGUCAUUAUCAGUACUAUGAUUUUGUAAUUUUUUUCAUCUUUUUUACAGAAAUCUAUUCUGAAAGCUUAUCAGAUAUAUGCAAAAUGAAGCAGUAACUGUGAGUUGACCCAAAAAGACAGAAACAAAUCGACUUCUUCCUUCAGUUGUAGGUUCUAGCUAAAUGCAGCUCCUCUGCUCCUCCUGCAUUCAUCCUCCUUUUCUGUCCUCCAUCUAUCAGUCUCACGCUGGGUUCCCUCCUUUAGAAGCUGAGAGGCACAGUUUUGCCAAGACUGAGAGUCAGGAGGUGUUGAGAUCUCACCCUUCAUGUGGGCUUGCAACCCAUUUACAUGACACACUGAAAUGCCUCUGAAUGUCUCCUGCGUGGAUGGUAUCUAUUUCAGAGACAGAAGCUGGUCAACGGCAUUUACUUCGGCCACCAUUUCAGCCACCAUUUCAGUCUGAUGUUUGUGUCAUUUCAUUCAGUAUCAUUCUGAACAUUGAUACAACUGUGGACAGUGUGCCUUCACUGAUCUGCAGCUUCUAUUCACUCCAGGGUGUCUCUGCAGAGUGGCAUGUUCACUGAAGAUCUAGGUGACAGGUGACCGUGUUUGGUCAGCAGGUCCAUCAUCACUUGGCACAUGAAGCAGUGGUCAUCUGAGAGUUACCUAAGAAAGACAGCAUCCCUAAAGAUUGUGGGCCUUCUCACUGUGAUGAAAGGCCUUCCACAAUUACAGCACUUUAUACAUCUACACAUCCUCUUGGAGGGUAUGUUAACUUCAGUCAAUUUAAAAUUGUGGAAUAAAACUACAGAACCACAGGCAGACACGCCGAUAAUAAUACAGAACCACAGGGAGAGAUAGAAAUAAUAAUAAUACUGAACCACGGGUAGACAGAGAAAAUAAUACAGAAAUACAGGUAGCGACAUGGAUGGCCAUACAGAAACUGACAGAUAAUAAUACAGAACCAUAAGCAAACACAGAGGCAAUAAUACAGAACCACACGCAGGCACAGCUGUAGUACUACAGAACCACAGACAGACACAGAGAUGAUAAUACAGAAACACAUGCAGAAACAAGGAUAGUAAUACAGAACCACAGGCAGAUGCCAGCAUAGUGAUACAGAACCACAGGCAGAUGCCAGCAUAGUCAUACAGAACCACAGGCAGAUGCCAGCAUAAUAAUACAGAACCAGUUGAAAUAGAAGAACAGCAGCAUGGGAGUUUCCCACAGCACUAUGAAGGUGCAGAUGGAUGCAUGAGGGCUGGAAGUGACAUAAAUCCCACACAGAUGCAGAGCAGAUCUGCUUUGAUGCAGAACCUCGAUUUCCGAACCUGGACUCUUCAUUCACUCAUCUGCUCACUUCUCUGGCCAUUUGUUCCUUUUCUCUAAUCGUUUCCUUUUCGUCUAACACUUGAUAAAACUCAGGAAUUUAUCUUUUCAUGACCUUGACGCUUUUCUCUCUUAAUGGAAAUAAUGUCUGUCUGAAGUUAAAAGGAAAGAGUUAACAGUAAUGAAAAUGCUUUGUGAGAUGACUGCCUUCGUGUUGUGCUUGUGUCUCUGUACAUUCUCCACUUUGUCUUUCCCAUUCCUCCAUUGUCUCCACCCUUUCCCUCUGACACUUCACUCUUUUUCUUUGUGGUGUACAACUCUAACUGUAAUACUUCCACAAAAGUGAACUUUUAACAAUGGGAGUGGGAACAGUUAAUGUGAAUAUCUCCCCUUAAAUGGAAUACAAAUGACAGCCCUCAAGAAUAGACAUGGAAAAAAAAAACAACAUAAGGAAUGAAAAUGAUGUUUUUGGGGGAAGCAUGUGAAGUGUAACGUAAAAAGAGGACUGUCACCCAAGGAAGAAAGAACUAAGACUGCGAACGGAGCAGGAAGGCGAUCGUUGGCCGCUGCUGAGUUUCUAAAAUCCCCCUUUUCUCUAAAGAAGAAACACCAAUGACAAAAUCCAGUCUGCAAAAGGAAGGGCGGUGCGAAAGCGAGGCGGAAAAGAUGGAGAGAGAGAGAGAUAGUGAGAGAGAGAAUGAGAAAGAGAGCCAUCUCCACGCACAGAUAGACUGAGACUCUCGUUAUGAGAACAUGGAGGGACACACAAACUCCCUGCACAUAUGUUACUGCACCAUUGUGAAGCCCUGACCACUUAUGUAGCAUUUGUUGAUUGAAGACAAGCUGUUGUAGGAGAAUCUCCUGAAUAACACAUUGGUAUGUCACUGCUGUAGAUCUCUAACCAAUGACUGAGCCAUGCUCGCCUCCCUUUUCCAACCCGCCAAUGACCAAGCCAUGCCUGCCUCCCUUUUCCAACCAGCCAAUGACUGAGCCAUCCCCGCCUCCCUUUUCCAACCAGCCAAUGACUGAGCCAUGCUCACCUUCCUUAACCAACCAGCUAACAGCUGACCCAUGCCCACCUACCUUUUUCAACCAGCCAAUGACUGAGCUAUGCGCAUCUUCCUUUUCCAACCAGCCGAUGACUGAGCCAUGCCCGCCUUCCUUUUCCAACUAACCAAUGACUGAGCCAUGUCUGCCUCCCUUUUCCAACCAGCCAAUGACUGAGCCAUGCCUGCCUCCUUUCUCUAAUCAGCCAAUGACCAAACCUUGCCCAGCUUCUUUCUCAAAUCAACCAAUGACUGAACCUCGCCAAUCUUCAUUUCUGAUCAACCAAUAAGUGAGUCUCCACAUCUCUCUUCUGAUCAGCCAAUGACUGAGUCAUGCCCCAAACCUAGUCAGCCAAUUGCUCUCUCCUUGGAUCAGCCAAUGACUCUGCCUGUUCAGUGUUUCUCCUAUAACUAACCAGAAGGGCAACCAGAAUUUUCCUCUCACUUGGUAAAAGCAGUAUAAAGGUUUCAUGCAUUCAUCUGUAACUUCGCAUGCUGGCUGAAGCAGUGGGAGCCUGAAGCCUGGCUGACAGACAGGCUAGAUGGAGGUUCUCACUUACAACUGCUCCCCACUUUCUCACACCUCUGCAUAUGCACUGGCCCUGUUGAUGCUUCAUGGAUCUUCUAAGCCAAUAUGAGCACAGAUAAACUUCCCCCUCUGCAGUCAGCUAAUGUUAGUGGGGACCAAUCACAUGCUGUGAUCUGGGGAUCAACAUCGUCAGCUACCUUUGUGUCUGCAAACAUCAGGGGCAGCGGGAAUAACAUCUGGCUGGUGCUCUCUCUCUCUCUCUCUCUCUCUCUCUCUCUCUCCCUCUCUCUCCCUCCCUCCCUCCCUCUCUCUCCCUCUCUCUCUUCAUUCUUUAACAUUUCAUAGUUCAGCUGCCACGUUACGCAUCGCAUGGCAUGAAAGGCAUAAGAAGGACUGAGGCCUACAAGUGGAAUCAGCAACAUUUCUUACUUAAAUCACCAAGAGUGAAGAUUCAAAAACAAAGAUAAAAUUAACUCAACUGAGCAGCUUCUCACGGUGAAACAGAAGAGAGUGAAAAGGGUUUAGGAGGACAGAGAAGGUACCAUGUACAGAAAUGGUGAAGGUUUAUGCUUCUAGACAAAUCAGGGGAGAAGACACAAAAAAAAAACAAAAGAGCAUUUUUAUUACCUAGUUUACCAGCAUGACGAUUCUGCAUGACUUUACUUCUGCAAGGCCUGACUGGAAAAAGGAGAGGUCAGUAAUUAAAAAAGAAACUAAAAGACAUACAUUAUAUGCAACUCAAACAAAAAAAGGAUUAUACAAAAGAGGAUCUCUAUUUUGUUUUGAAUAAUAAAAAUAAAUAAAUAAAAAAACAACACUGCAAGAUGAACAAUAUUGAACAAUAUUUUGUUAAGACCUCGGUUUGAGUGCCGGACAUGAACUCUGCCACGAGCUUCCUGGACACCCUGGAAGUCCCUGGAAGUCCCUGCAUCUCCUCUGCCCUGGGGCUGAUUCUCCUGCGACUCCGCCCCUUUUCUUCCCUCCCAUACCCUGGGACUCCGCCCCUUUUCUUCCCUCCCAUACCCUGGGACUCCGCCCCUUUUCUUUCCAACCAUGCCCUGCGACUCCGCCCCUUUUCUUCACACCCAAGUCCUGUGACUCCACCCCCUUUUUCCCACCUAAGCCCUGUGACUCCACCCUAUUUAUUCCUACCUGGGCCCUGUGACCCUGCACCUUUGUCCUACCCAGGUCUUCGCCCCACUCUCAAACCCAUGCUUCCUCUUGAGGGCUGCUAGCGAGGCUUCAGAGCAGCACUACCCCAGGCCAGUUGUGGGAACACAGCGCCCCCCCCUGCGGCUGUGGCACCAUUCGCUCUUGAUUGCGACACCAACAACAGCAAAUAGCAUUUUUAUUUUUAACUUGUUUGAAAGACGUUGUUUUUGCUGGAUGGUGCUUUAUCUCGAGUCCCUUUGCCCUCGCCUUUCCCAUCACAAUGUGAGUGUGUAGCUGGUGUCAUGGCUGAAGCCUUGCACUGCCCCCUGCUGGUACCACUGAAAAUGUCCCCACAGUGGUACAUGACGCACGACAUUGUCGUGCUCCUGGGGUCACCAGCUUUCUGAACUGUCUCUGUGUUUGGGGAACCAGUGGCUGUCGUUCGCACCUGAGGCCCUGGGCGUAUGCAGGGUCUGCUCUGGUCUAGCAAUAGCAAACAGUGGCAGCUGACAGGUGAUGCAAGCUUGGACCUGUGGCCUACAGUCAAAGUGAGUUGUAUCGUGUAAAUCUUCAGUGAUUAAUGCAUUUUGUACCAUUAUGCUGUCUGACAUGUGAGGGACACAGAAGGUUAUGGUCCUGACUUUUAGAAAAAUCGCAAAGCAGGCAAGUUAAGGCAGGAACUGAGAUCCACUCAGAUCAGUUAGUUCAUCUUUAUUUUACAUUCUUUUUUUUCCCCCACGAUUAAACUGCUUGAUAAAUUCA